This 69-nucleotide transfer RNA is filed under the name Mesorhizobium sp. RNAcentral describes it as "tRNA-Met". It matches the Rfam family "tRNA", at positions 5 to 66 of the family's 71-position model. Rfam says of the family: Transfer RNA (tRNA) molecules are approximately 80 nucleotides in length. Their secondary structure includes four short double-helical elements and three loops (D, anti-codon, and T loops). Lineage: Bacteria; Pseudomonadati; Pseudomonadota; Alphaproteobacteria; Hyphomicrobiales; Phyllobacteriaceae. The record is from RNAcentral. RNAcentral also lists the same sequence under 16 other names.
CGGAUAGCUCAGUUUGGUUAGAGCGUCAGACUCAUAAUCUGAUUGUCGAAGGUUCGAUUCCUUCUCCAA